GCUUAACACAUGCAAGUCGAACGGAGAUUAUUAAUGAAGCUUGCGAUUUAAUAAUCUAGUGGCGGACGGGUGAGUAACGCGUGGGCAACCUACCCAUAAGAGGGGGGAUAACAGUUGGAAACGACUGCUAAUACCGCAUAAGCUAUUAAGGUCGCAUGACCUUAAUAGUAAAGGUGGCGAAAGCUAUCACUUAUGGAUGGGCCCGCGUCUGAUUAGCUAGUUGGUGGGGUAGCGGCCUACCAAGGCAACGAUCAGUAGCCGGCCUGAGAGGGUGGACGGCCACACUGGGACUGAGACACGGCCCAGACUCCUACGGGAGGCAGCAGUGGGGAAUAUUGCGCAAUGGGGGAAACCCUGACGCAGCGACGCCGCGUGAAGCGAAGAAGGCCUUAGGGUCGUAAAGCUCUGUUGUAAGGGACGAAUGUUUAUCUGGCGAACAGUCAGAUAAAGUGACGGUACCUUACCAGCAAGCCCCGGCUAACUACGUGCCAGCCGCAGC
RNAcentral lists this ribosomal RNA (499 nucleotides) under uncultured bacterium. Its description in RNAcentral is "bacterial SSU rRNA". It matches the Rfam family "Bacterial small subunit ribosomal RNA", at positions 46 to 518 of the family's 1533-position model. The record is from RNAcentral.